GGAGUUUGGACCGUGUCUCAGUUCCAAUGUGGCCGUUCACCCUCUCAGGCCGGCUAUUGAUCGUCGCUUUGGUAGGCCGUUACCCUGCCAACUGGCUAAUCAAACGCGGAUCCAUCCUUAAGCGAAAUUCCUUUCCUCACUGAGUCAUGCGACUCCGUAAGCAUAUGGUGUAUUAGCAAUGAUUUCUCACUGUUAUCCUCCUCUUAAGGGCAGGUUACCCACGCGUUACUCACCCGUCCGCCACUAAGUAUUUCAAAUGAUUCUUUGGAAGCAAGCUUCCUCGGUCUCGGGAGAAAUACUCCGUUCGACUUGCAUGUGUUAAGCACGCCGCCAGCGUUUAUC
This 342-nucleotide ribosomal RNA is filed under the name uncultured Lachnospiraceae bacterium. RNAcentral's name for it is "partial 16S ribosomal RNA". Lineage: Bacteria; Bacillati; Bacillota; Clostridia; Lachnospirales; Lachnospiraceae. The record is from RNAcentral.